Molecule: ribosomal RNA, 253 nt
Filed under: uncultured bacterium
Lineage: Bacteria
Description: partial 16S ribosomal RNA
Rfam family: Bacterial small subunit ribosomal RNA
Source: RNAcentral
UACGUAGGGUGCGAGCGUUAAUCGGAAUUACUGGGCGUAAAGCGUGCGCAGGCGGUUCGUUGUGUCCGGUGUGAAAGCCCCGAGCUUAACUUGGGAAUGGCAUUGGAAACUGGCGAGCUGGAGUGUGGCAGAGGGGGGUGGAAUUCCACGUGUAGCAGUGAAAUGCGCAGAUAUCGGGAAGAACACCCGUGGCGAAGGCGGCUCUCUGGGACGGUACUGACGCUGAGACGCGAAAGCGUGGGGAGCAAACAGG